GCUCGCCUCGACAGCACAUAUACAAAAAUUGGGAUGAUACAGAGACGAUUAGUAGGGCCCCUGUGCAAGGAUGGCAUGUAAAUUCACGAAGCAUUCCAGAUUUAA
Small nuclear RNA from Phacochoerus africanus (Common warthog), 105 nucleotides. The record is from RefSeq and is a predicted model, not a curated record. NCBI's taxonomy places the organism in Eukaryota, Metazoa, Chordata, Mammalia, Artiodactyla, Suidae.